RNAcentral lists this long non-coding RNA (7572 nucleotides) under Gossypium barbadense (sea-island cotton). RNAcentral describes it as "long non-coding RNA (GBAR_LNC004006)". The record is from RNAcentral. Lineage: Eukaryota; Viridiplantae; Streptophyta; Magnoliopsida; Malvales; Malvaceae.
AUGCCUCCUAUGUUCGAAGGUUUACGAGGGACUAUAUAUUGAUAAGCCCUGGCCAAACCAUGGAUGUUUUGGUCUCUGCCAAUCGAAACGUUGGCCAAUAUUACAUGGCUAUUAGGCCUUUCUCUGAUUCCUCUGCUGCACCUGUUGACAACAUCACUACUGGCAUUUUUGAAUAUACAAACAGUGAGGGCGGAUUGAAUGCUUCCUUGAUAACGUUGCCCGUAAUGAACGAUACAGAUGCUAUGAUUAACUUCCUAAACCAAAUUCGGAACACGAAAGUCUCCCAGAAUCCGCGGAUAAAUGUGCCGGCAGAUAAGGAUAUUAAAAGACGAGUGUUCAUGACACUCGCGGUAAACAACUUGCCUUGCAACACCUGUGUUGUAGGCAGCAGACUUGUUGCAAGUUUGAACAAUGUAAGCUAUGUUUCCCCAAGUAUUGACAUUCUCCAAGCAUACUACAACAGGUAUAUUAUAUAUAUCCAUGGUUAUAGCAAUUCUUAGAUCAUGAUUUCACUACCGUAGCUGCCUAAUUGUUAAAAGUUUUGGUAAAAUUGCAGGAACAUGAGUGGUGUUUACACCGAAGAUUUUCCAUUGAAUCCCCCAGUAAUCUAUGAUUUCACUGGAAACUUGACUAAUCUCAAUACCCCUGUUGAGGAAGGGACGAGGGUAAUAGUGGUAAAUUAUGGGGAAGGAGUUGAGAUGGUGCUGCAAGCAACCCAGAUGGGGGCUGGUGGAAGUCACCCAAUCCAUUUGCACGGUUCUAGCUUCUAUUGGGUGGGAACAGGUUUCGGAAAUUUCAACAAUAAGACAGACCCAAGGACUUAUAAUCUGGUUGAUCCACCACUCAUUAACACUGUCCAUGUUCCUGGUAGAAGAUGGGUUGCCAUCAGAUUUUUUGCUACCAAUCCCGGUAAGUUUUUCAAUUAGAAAAUUGUUUAAAUAAAAAGAAGCUCAUCUUUCUUACGACCAAAGUUUUAACUAAUUACAAUAUUUUCAGGAGUAUGGUUUAUGCAUUGCCAUUUGGAGAGGCAUAGUAGCUGGGGAAUGGACACUGUUCUCAUCGUGAGGAAUGGUAAAACCAAGAAAACAAGCAUCCGCCCACCGCCAUCUACCAUGCCUCGUUGUCCUGGAACCUAGAACUACUACAAGCAUAGAAUUAACACAUACAUACAUACACACAAGUAGUUUCUAGAUUUACAUUUUUAAUAAGAAUAAAAUUCCUGUGCCCUCUUCUUGGUCCACCAAUCUUUUUUCACAUGUGUACAAGUAAAUGAAUAGAGUUGAUAAUGUUUUUCGUCUCCAGAAAACUUUAGCCUCUGGGCACAAUUUAUUUUCUGGGUUUUAUGUAUUCUUUUAACUCAUCAUCUAAAUUUCAAUUUUAAGAAAUCAUCUUUCUAUCCAUGGUCUUGGUAUUUUUUUGCUGGGUUUCUCUUUGCCAUGACAUGCAUUUAUGAAUCAAAAGGAGCAACAAUGGAAUCGAAAACUUCAAAACAAACAAUAUGGUUCAUCUUCAUCGCUUCAGAAAUAAACUAAAACAAAUAAAUUAAUCUGUAGAAUAGUCUAUUAAAACACAGCUUCAAUGACAGCAAAAACAACAAAAGAAGAAACCCAGGGAAAGCAGAUUGGAUAAUAAUUUAACCAAUCUAUGAACUUUUUAACUUAAAAGGAAUGGCCUAAUAAAGAAUUAAACUUUUUUGGUAAAGGGAAAGAAUUCAAACCCUCCCUUAAUGUCAAUAUUCAAAAAUUACUACUGAAAAUGAUUGGAUAGUCGCAACGCGCGGCACUAAAAGGGCAGAGGAAUUUUCACUUUUCUAAUAAUAAAAUAUGUGUAAUUAAAAAACUUUAUUCACAUAAAUUUUAAAAUUAUAUAUAAAUUCUGAUUUUGUAUAAUUUAAUAUAUAAAUAUUGAUUUCAUUCGAUUCUCAUAAAUUAUUAAUUAAAUUUAUUAAAUAUAAAAAUAAAUUAGUAUAUUUAUUUUUUAAAAUGUUAUAUAUAUAUAUAUAUGAAGAGGCAUAAUUUUAAAAUUUAUCCAGUUAAAUAAUAUAUGGUCAUGGUUGAUAGUGAUAUCUAGAUUUGUUUAUUAAAGGAUAGGAAAGAUAAGGACAAAUGGGCACCCUACGUGGCCUCCCAUCUCUUUUAAACUUUAUCACCAAUUAUUAUUUUAUAUUGCAUUUUUAUUUUUCUAAUAUAAAUUAAUACCUCGUUUAAUACAACAGUAAUCUAGUUUUUAUGUUUUACAUAUAACACAUAUAAUUCAAUUUAAUUAUUCGUCCCUACACAUUUUUUUUCAAAUUUGGUUUCAACUCUUUUAUAAAAAAUAAAUAUUUAAAUUAACUAAUUGCUUUAUAAAAAUAGAUUGAUUAAAUUAUGUUAAAAAUUAAACUAUAUAGAUUAAAUCUCAAGCUUUAACAUAGUCUAAAGGUCAAAAUUGAAAUUUAACCAUUGUCUUGUUAUGUAAAAAAAACAACACAAACCUAAAAAAAAAAAUGAUAAGUCAUAUGUUAAUCUUUAAGACUCUAAGAGUAUUCAAAUUAUAUAUAAUUAUGUAACAUUUUAACAAAAAAGUUAAAAAGUAUUAACUAUUUGGACUAGUUAAUAAUAUUAUAAAAAAUAUAAUGAUCAAAUUAAAGCAUAUUAAAGAGUUUAAAAUUGAAAAUUAACCAAUUUUAAAAUGCAAAAAGAAAAGGAGCUGGUGGAUGUGUGCCACAUAGUUGGAAAUUUUGAAAUUUGACCACUGUCUUAUAAGAUAAGAAAAAGGUAAAACAAACCUAAAAAAAAUGAGAAGAUAUAUGUCAGUCUCUAAGACUUUGAGAAUAUUCAAAUUAUAUAUAACCACAUAAUGUUUUAACCGAAAGUUAACAAUAUUAACUUCUUAACUAAUUAAUAACAUUAUAAAAACAUAGGGACCAAAUUAUGUUAAAAAUUAAAAUAAAUAAAUUAAAUAUCAAAUUUAAAGAUAUUAAAUGGAAUAAAAAUGAAAAUUAAGCAUUUAUAUCAUAGAGGUUUAUAGGUGUCUUGACUAAGUAAAAAAAAUUAAAUAUUUAGCAAGUCAAUUCAAUUUUGCUUGAUUUAUGUCUUUUCAAUUUGGCCAAAUUUCUCUAUUUCUCUGUUCCUUGUCAAAUUUAUGUUGAAGAUGCUCAUUUCCAAUUAUUAUUUUAGAAAAAAUAUUAUAAAAAAAAAAUGUUGUUGACAACUACUUUUUUUUCACUUUAGUUUUAUCUCUUUCUUGUUGUGACAUAACUUACCAGAUCUCUUCAUUUUCAAGUAUUUGUUUUGAGUUUUUUCAAGAACAAUAUCAUUAUUUUACUUAUUUAUUAUUUUCCUUUUAGGAGAAAUUUCCAACUUUGGAACCAAUUUUCUAUAAGAUUGACUACAAUAUUAUGCAGUAAAUAUAACAAGAAAUAUUUCUUCCAGUCUGCAACUUUCAAUUAUAUCAUAUUGAUAUCAUUUCAUAAUUUAAUAAUUCUAAAGAUUUGGCUGCAUUCAUUUCCACUUUAAUUUUAAUAUAAAACUUUAAUGCAAAUUUCAUUACCCCUUGAAUAUAUAAAAACUUAAAUUAAUUUUCUUAUGUAAAAAGCCAUUAUUUUUUAAAAUAUUUCUAAAUUAAUACACGCAUAUAAUUAAUAUUAGUAUUGGUUUUUUUUUUUAAUUAUCACAUAUGUUUCCCACAUAUUAUUUAAUUUUUUUUUAAUUUUUUAUUUUUUUAUUAGCAAUCGCGUUUUAGACUUUAAACAGGACUGAUUCUCCUAAUUGAACUCUGAUUAUUUCAGGGAUGUUUCAGUAUGAUUAGAACUCUAAUAUUAGCCUAUCUAAAAGGGUCAUUGUAUCCUUGCUUUGACAUGCCAAUCAGCUAGGCUUUUCUUUGAAGGCAACAAGAUGUAGUCGCAUACGAGUUUUUUGUGAGUGUUUCACGGUAACUAUAAAGAGAAUUUUGUUCCCAAGUUAGGUUUUGUUUUUUUUUUGAGUUUGGGUUUGUAUAUUUAGUACAUUUAGGUUUAUUUUCUCCAUAUUUUACUCUUGCUUGUUUAUCCAUUUAGUGAAAAAUCGAAGCCUCCUUUGCUCAUAGUUUUUCUUCUCUUCGAAGGAGUUUUUCACACAAAAUAUUUAUUUUUGAUCUUCUUUAUUUUUCUAUUUCAUCGUUUAUAUGAAUUAUUCCCAAAAAUUAUCAUACUUUUUAAAAUUUUGUCUCCACGUUAAUAUUAACUUAUCUAGUUAAAUAUUUCAUUUACUAUAUGAUAAACAAAUGAUUUCGGUGAAAAGGGAAAUGAUUUUUAGAAAAUAGUUUGAUUUUUUUAAAAAAUUGAUAUUUUUAGUAUUUGAAUGAUUAUGCUUAAAAUAUUUUCUAUUGUUUGACAAAUUUUAUUGAAAUUUAUUUUUUAAAAGUUGUUUUUAGUAAAAUGAAUGCAAUAUUAAUAUAUUUGCUACAAAAUAUUAUAGAUUGAUAGUUGUUUUUUUCUUUUGACAAUUGAAAUUUAUGUUAUAAUAAUUAAUAUAAUAUAUAAACCUAAUAAUGAACAGUGUCUAAUUAAAAUUAUAUAUAUAUUUAUAUUACAUAUAUGAGAGUGGCUAGUGACACAUUUGAGUUGAAAGAGAUAAAUGAAGCUAAGCAUAAUUUAAAUAAAUACUCAUAUUUAGAUUAUUAAAAUGUUCAUAUUUAUAUUACAUUUAUUAUUAAAACAUUCAUAUUUAAUUAAUUUCUAACAAAUUUUAUAAAUUAUUUUAAAUUAUUUUUAUGGUUUUUAGUAAUUUUUUAUAAAAUUUUAUGGGUUUUAAUUUAUUUCUAAUAUUAUAAUUUUUAAUCAAUUUUAAUGAUUUUUAUAAUUUUUUAUGUUUUUAUAAUUUUAAAAUGAAUUUAGACAAAUGAGAGUUCAGAUUUAAAUAAACUUGGAUAACCAUUUGUUGAAAUUUAUUAUGUACUUUUUUGAAAAAUAAUUUUAAAAUAAAUUUUAUAUUUUUUUAUAUUUUUGACGCGAUGCAUGUUAAUAGCCAUGCUAGUAUUGUCGUUAAAUACUGACUACAAACGAUAGUUAAAGAGCCUAUUCGGUUAAUUUUAUUAGUGUACAAUUCAAUUGAAUGUAAAAAAUUUAGAAGGAAUUAAAUAAAUUUUUUUAAAUUUCGAGGGUUUAUAAAAUCCAUUAAUGAAAAAAAAAUUGAGUGAAAUAAUAUAAAAUGUAAAAAUUUGUUGAUAAUGUUCUUUUUAAAGUAAAAUUUGACCAUAAUGUUGUGAAUUGUGAUGAUUUUUUUUUUCAACAUUUCAGAAUUUCUUUUCCUUUUCGCUGGAUUUCCAUUAAAAAAAAUGUGGUUUAUAUUUUUAGUAGAAUUUUUCUUAAAAAUGGUUAAUUAAAUUAAUAUAAAAAUAAAUGUGAUUCAAUGUAUUUAAAUUUAAUUUUUUUACGUAAAUAACAAUAUUUAUAUCAAUAAGUUAAAACAUAAUAUUUUAAAAUAAUAGAUACAGCCACUUUUAAUUUAAUAACACCUUAAUUAUUGUUGUAAAUUCGUCACGUUGAUUUCACAAUUUCAUAUGCUUAAUUUAAUCUCAUAUAAAAUUUUCAUUGUCAUAAAAUGCGUGCACAUACACGUCCAACUCCUUAAGAUAUUCUUUAUCACUCUCUGGAGGAAAUUUAGUCAACUUAAAAUAUUAUUAAACGAGCCCAGCAGUGAGGAAGCUGCCAUCCAACCUUGGAUUUGCAUCAACAAUUUUAAACAUUUUAACUAACAUCAACAAACUAUUAUCAACUUCAUAUUACGUACUCUAACUUGGACAUAAAAUAAAAAAUAUGUAUUAAAAAAAUCCAACAUGACAUGUUAUGUAAUGAGAAAAAGAAAUAAAAAAUAAAAACUAGAAACAUAUUGUUUGAAGUGUAAUCUUUUGACUGGAAAAUGCAAUUUUCGUAUACUUUCAAAGAAACAAACCUAAGGAGCACUUGCUGCCUUUCCUAUAAAUGGUUGACCCAAAGAUGAGAAAAUUCAGGGGAGAACUGAAAACACAUUAGAGAGGGGGGAAAAAUGGGUUUACAGAAAGGUUUAGUAACAUGCUUUGUAGGGGUUUUAUUUCUUAGCACUUUGCUCCUUUCCAGUGCAGAUGUACAUCACUAUGAAUUCUUCGUGAGUACCCUUUCUUUCAUGUCAUAGUUGUUUCGUAUGGAUAAUCUUAAACCUCAUAUUCAACCUACGUAAUUUACUGAUCUGAUCAUAAAUUACUUUUUCCUUCUCUGUUUUAAACCCAAAACUUUCAGGUCUGAUACAACAUCUUUGCUUUAACUAUUACAGAGUAAUGGUAGAAAUGUCUCCUUAAAACAUGGCUAAGUGCCUGAGAUUGAACACUAAUAAUGGCAGUGGCUUUUUUUCCUUUACAGUUUAAUAUUAGUGUUGAGAUUUGACUGCAGGUGCGAGAGUCAAACUUUACGAAGCUGUGCAACACAACGACAUUGCUGGUCGUAAACGACAGCUAUCCAGGGCCUGAGAUUCGGGUUCACAGAUGUGAUACUGUCUUCGUUAAUGUCCACAAUCAAGGAAACUACGGCUUCACCAUUCACUGGUAACUAUAACCUUUCUUUCAUUCUUCCAAUCGUAAUUUCCCAAAGAAUUGAAAUCAAAAGUGAUUAAAUCAAACUAAACAUGUUGCAGGCACGGUGUGAAACAACGGAGGAAUCCAUGGUCCGAUGGUCCCGAGUUCAUAACGCAGUGCCCCAUCCAACCAGGGACCAACUUCACCUAUGAAAUCGUACUAUCGGAUGAAAUAGGAACACUGUGGUGGCACGCACACAGUGACUGGACUCGUGGUUCCGUCCAUGGAGCAUUCAUCAUUUUACCGGCAGAGAAUGAAACUUACCCGUUCCCCACGCCAGACGCCGAUCAAACUAUCAUACUUGGUAAGCAUAUCUUUUGAUUCUUCGGUUGUGUUACUUGUGUAUAAUUAUAGCAUCUUAAUUUGAUUUUUUGAAUGGAUUUACAGAAUCAUGGUACGAUGGGGACUACAAGCAAAUUAUUGAUGACGCACUUGCCGCCGGUGUCUCUCCUCGCCAACCAAGUGCUUAUGCUAUCAGUGGACACGUCGGAGACACAUAUGGAUGCCCCAAUGGUAUGUUCUAGCAUUACCGAAACCGGAUUGAGUUUGUCGGCCUUUGGAUCCCUUAUACUAAGAGCCUAUAGUUGGUUGUUGCAGAUACAAUAUUCCGUAUGCAAGUUGAUUCUGAGAAGAUAUACCUUCUCCGAAUAAUUAACGCUGCAAUGAACGAACAUUUUUUCUUCACCAUCGCGAACCACACCCUCACAGUCGUCGCACAAGAUGCCUCCUAUGUUCGAAGGUUUACGAGGGACUAUAUAUUGAUAAGCCCUGGCCAAACCAUGGAUGUUUUGGUCUCUGCCAAUCGAAACGUUGGCCAAUAUUACAUGGCUAUUAGGCCUUUCUCUGAUUCCUCUGCUGCACCUGUUGACAACAUCACUACUGGCAUUUUUGAAUAUACAAACAGUGAGGGUGGAUUGAAUGCUUCCUUGAUAACGUUGCCCGUGAUGACCGCUACAGAUGCUAUGAUUAACUUCCUUAACCAAAUUCGGAACACGAAUGUCUCCC